GGUGGAAGGACGCCCCCUUACAUCUAUAUUCUACCUUUUGCAGCUGGACUCAACACGAAGUGCUGCGUCGUCUUCAAGGAUUCUUCACGAACAUUUAUUCAUCUUGGCUGUGCUGGCUGCGCUCGUGACGGUCAAGCUUACCCAGCUCACACGGGCGGUGACGGCGGUGGUGGAAGGACGCCCUCUUACAUCUAUAUUCUACCUUUUGCAGCUGGACUCAACACGAAGUGCCGCGCCGUCUUCAAGGAUUCUUGCCCGCACUGACGUGACGAACAUUUAUUCAUCUUGGCUGUGCUGGCUGCGCUCGUGACGGUCAAGCUCACCCAGCUCACACAGGCGGUGACGGCGGUGGUGGAAGGACGCCCCCUUACAUCUAUAUUCUACCUUCUGCAGGUUGGUAAACUGAGGUUCAUUCCUGACUAAAAGACUUGCCCUAUAUCUUUUGCCACCGCCACCCCUGUUACCACUGUGUUGAUACUUGUUUUGGUGUCAAGUGCUUUGGCGUUUUGGUACUCUUUGCACUGUGUGUACACUUAGUGGGCCAGUGAAGAUGCAAUGCCGCUCCUGCAGCGACUCCCUUCCUCCAGAUGGACGCUUCAUGAAAUGCUCCGAAUG
Long non-coding RNA from Rhipicephalus sanguineus (brown dog tick), 615 nucleotides. RefSeq lists it as uncharacterized. The record is from RefSeq and is a predicted model, not a curated record. The transcript has 2 exons. NCBI's taxonomy places the organism in Eukaryota, Metazoa, Arthropoda, Arachnida, Ixodida, Ixodidae.